Molecule: ribosomal RNA, 738 nt
Filed under: uncultured bacterium
Lineage: Bacteria
Description: bacterial SSU rRNA
Rfam family: Bacterial small subunit ribosomal RNA
Source: RNAcentral
GGGGAGCAAACGGAUUAGAUACCCCGGUAGUCACGCCGUAAACGAUGUCUACUAGCCGUUGGAGGACUUGAUCCUUUAGUGGCGCAGCUAACGCGAUAAGUAGACCGCCUGGGGAGUACGGUCGCAAGAUUAAAACUCAAAUGAAUUGACGGGGGCCCGCACAAGCGGUGGAGCAUGUGGUUUAAUUCGAAGCAACGCGAAGAACCUUACCUACUCUUGACAUCCAGUGAACUUUUGAGAGAUCAAUUGGUGCCUUCGGGAACACUGAGACAGGUGCUGCAUGGCUGUCGUCAGCUCGUGUUGUGAAAUGUUGGGUUAAGUCCCGUAACGAGCGCAACCCUUGUCCUUAGUUACCAUCAUUAAGUUGGGGACUCUAAGGAGACUGCCGGUGACAAACCGGAGGAAGGCGGGGACGACGUCAAGUCAUCAUGGCCCUUACGAGUAGGGCUACACACGUGCUACAAUGGCAUGUACAAAGGGUUGCCAAGCCGCGAGGUGGAGCUAAUCCCAUAAAGCAUGUCGUAGUCCGGAUUGGAGUCUGCAACUCGACUCCAUGAAGUCGGAAUCGCUAGUAAUCGUGAAUCAGAAUGUCACGGUGAAUACGUUCCCGGGCCUUGUACACACCGCCCGUCACACCAUGGGAGUGGGUUGCUCCAGAAGUAGAUAGCUUAACCUUCGGGAGGGCGUUUACCACGGAGUGAUUCAUGACUGGGGUGAAGUCGUAACAAGGUAGCCGUA